Molecule: ribosomal RNA, 468 nt
Filed under: uncultured bacterium
Lineage: Bacteria
Description: partial 16S ribosomal RNA
Rfam family: Bacterial small subunit ribosomal RNA (bases 55-468)
Source: RNAcentral
GGGGGGGGGGGGGGGGGGGGGGGGGGGGGGGGGGGCGGGGGGGGGGGCCCGGGUGUGGGGGGGGGGGCGAGUGGCGAACGGGGGGGGAACACGUGGGUAACCUGCCCUGGACUUGGGGAUAACUUCCGGAAACUGGGGCUAAUACCGGAUAGGAGCUCCUGCUGCAUGUUGGGGGUUGGAAAGUUUCGGCGGUUGGGGAUGGACUCGCGGCUUAUCAGCUUGUUGGUGGGGUAGUGGCUUACCAAGGCUUUGACGGGUAGCCGGCCUGAGAGGGUGACCGGCCACAUUGGGACUGAGAUACGGCCCAGACUCCUACGGGAGGCAGCAGUGGGGAAUAUUGCACAAUGGGCGGAAGCCUGAUGCAGCAACGCCGCGUGCGGGAUGACGGCCUUCGGGUUGUAAACCGCUUUCGCCUGUGACGAAGCGUGAGUGACGGUAAUGGGUAAAGAAGCACCGGCUAACUACGUG